GGUGGGCGGCAGGGGCAAUUAUGACCGCAGGCUGGUUUAGGGGUUGGGUAAGGUCAGGUGUCCUCUGGGGUUGGGAGGAGGAAGGUCGGCUGGUGGCCCAGCUGCGGGGUUCUGGUGGGUCCAGGCCGAUGGAGUGGCUCACCUGUGUAGGCCAGGACGCAGUUCUGGGUUGUGUCAAGGAAAAAUAGCUUGUCCCGAAUUUCAUGAGAAUGACCAAAUAACAUCCUUUGAAGGCUGAUCAGCACUGGAUCAGAACCGCUACAUGAAACCUGAGAAACUCCUAAAACCCAUUCCCCAGAAUGGAUAUCGCAGAGUAUGCUCAGACAGAGCCACUCAGGCCUGCAUUCCGCAUCAAAGAACACAUGAAAGAACACAGAUCGGAGAAAGAAAAACCCCAACUUUGGUAACAGGAUUCCAGUGAGGAAUUCCGGUCGUUCUGAUGCUUUGCAUGAAACACUUUGAACUUUCAGAAAAGAGCUUUAGAUUUGUUGGCAGACCCUGAAAAGCAUGAAAUGGCUUCUGAGACUUGGGAUGCUUUUGCCAGCUUGAUUCAGAGCCACAGAAAACAGCUGUUGGGAAUAAGUUACAGAUGGGUUCAUCGUUGUGCAAAUAGAGUUCCCCUCCCCUCUCCGGAACAUAGGACCAGCCAAGAGCUCCAGAAAAGGACGUCUGUCCAGUGCAGGAGUCCGAGAGCACAGCUGUGUCACAGAGGCUUGAGAAGAGGUGCAGACUGAGCCCAGGCACAGGAGGAAGAGUGCGAGCACACGUGCGUCUUGGAAGCUCUGGCUGACUUCGAGAAGGACCGAUUACCAUUUUCCAGCACACAGAAUGCUUUCUUAUUUGUGUCUGAUUUCUGUUUCUUCCCUUCUGCUCUGGCUCUUGCCAGAUAUUUAAUAAUGUGAUUUUCUAUUUAAUCACAUUUUCUCACUCUACAGAGCACUUCCGUGGGAGGUCAUUUAGGAGAUGGAAUGGACUUAUUUUUGCCUUCAAUUUUAGUAGCUUGUUGGAACGGAGUAUUUGAUAAGCCUUGGCCUGGGUUAACUAGGUGUUGGGAUAUGACCAUAAAGGGCAUUUCUGAAAGUGUGAGAGUGCUUUGUUACAAAGACCGGAGAAGGCAGGCACCUUACCCACAUUCUAGGUUGGCUAAAGCUCCAGGACCACACGAAGGUAGGACUGGAUUCAACUCAAUGGGGGCCUCCCAUCAGGGAUUCGUGAGAAAAGUCCUCAAGGUCCUCCGGGAGACAGCAGGGCGCAGUGGGCAGGCAGAUGGGGGCUCUGUUUAUUCUCUUCGGGCAAAACCAGCCAUUCGUCGAGUACGUCAGCUUAUUCGGUAUCAGUUUAUUCUCCAUCCUCAGGAGAUGGCUGGGAGCAACCAGCUCUGGAAGCUCUGCUGUGGAGGCCUGAAUGCUGGCUGUGCCCUCAGUAGCCUUGUGACUUUGGGGAAGUAUGGCACCUUUCUGUGCAGUACUUUCUUCUGUAAAAUGCAGUUUGCAGUGAUGUGCUUCCCUCCAGGGGUCCUGUGAGUAGCAGAUGAGUUCACGGAUAUAAAAUGCAUCAAAGCGUGCUUGGCCCAUGCUUUUAGUAAAUGUUUGCCAUAGUCCUUAUAGGAGUCCAUUUAAGACCCUUCCUAAGGUGCUAACUCAUUUUCCAGGUUCUGUCUUUCAGAAGUGGUGAGUGUAUCUAAAGGGCAUGAUUUUUAGAGCAGCUUUAGGUUGACACAAAACUGAGCAGAAAGUACAGAGCUCCAGCACACGUAAGAUUUUUUUGUCACUAGCAAAAUGUACCCGCUGGUGAGAGACACUUUCCUUUGGGACUGUUCUCGCAGGAGGAGGGUUCAGAGGACUGAGCUAAGCUACAUAAUCAACAAACCACUGUGCGGGACACGGGAAUGGAUGAGGCUGAGAGGAUAAUACACGAAGUUGCAGCCUGUUUGAGAAUUUUCCCUGAAGGCCUGGCUGUGGUACAGACUGAGGACUCCAGUGUGGCCCUCUGCUGCCAAACCCACUGCCGCUCGUGUGCAGCCCAGGUGGAGGAUGCAAACGCCCUGUGCCCAGGCCUUCUGUCCAGCUUCUUAUGAAUGAUGUGUCUGGAACUUCCAAGUCUCAGCAUGCAGUAGUAUAUUGUUCCGUGAGGACAAACUGUGACGAAAUUCAAGGAUUUGGCUCAUUUUAUUGUUGGAAAAGCUUCCUGCUGGCCAGUCAAAAUGGUGAUAAGUCACUUUGUCUAUGAUUUGGGCUGCUUCCUUAAGUCUGUACGUGAGCUUGUCUAUAAUAAAAUCAUGGGAUAGACAAUCCUGGCUUAUUCCUGUUGCCCUGGAAAAACUUUAAUGGUGCCCUCACUUUAGGGUGACUCUCAGAUGAUAUCAAUUUGGAUAAUAAAUGUUAGAAUAAUCCUUAAAUAUACAGAGAAUCUAGCACAGAAAAUGCUUCUCUCUCUCUCUCUCUCUCUCUCUCACACACACACACACACACACUCACUGUGGAAAGGUGUUCCAGUAUUAUCGUAAGAUACAUGCAGAGUAUCAGACACUUGGCUAGCUGAAGAUGACCUCUUAGUCACUGUGCAUUUCUCUUCUUGACAUCAACCUUAAUAACAGCAAUCAAAAU
This is a non-coding RNA of Oryctolagus cuniculus (rabbit), 2606 nucleotides long. NCBI's taxonomy places the organism in Eukaryota, Metazoa, Chordata, Mammalia, Lagomorpha, Leporidae. The record is from RefSeq and is a predicted model, not a curated record.